AGAACAAAUAAAUAUUCUAUUUUUAUCUUAUAAAUAUUCAUUUAAGCUUCGAUAUAUUUCUUAAUUAAAUUCAAUGCAAGGAACUCUCAACCAAUCGGCACAGGGGCAAUAACGAGAAUGUAACUUAUUGAUAUUUACACUGUAUGUCUAAAACUAUGUUAAAUUAAUUUCAUUAGAUAUCGAAUUUUCUGAAAUUAGAAAAAAAUAUUGCAUAUGAACAAUUUUUUGCAAUAAUUCCUAUUAAAUGAGUCUUGAAAAACUAUAACUUUUAACAUUUCAAAGGAAAAGAAAUACAGUAAUUUAUUAUAAUUUAGGGAAAUUUCCUGAUUAAUAUUCAUAGUUACGUUUUUCUAAAGUAAAUACUCUAUUAGAUAAGAGACAAAUUAAGUA
RNAcentral lists this long non-coding RNA (390 nucleotides) under Cryptosporidium parvum. The record is from RNAcentral. Lineage: Eukaryota; Apicomplexa; Conoidasida; Eucoccidiorida; Cryptosporidiidae.